UCAAGGACAAAUUCCUGAAUGCAACAUUUGCUUUUCCGUCUUCCCGCUUCACCUCACUCAUCCCUGCAGAAGUACAAGUAUUCCUGGCUUCUUCAAGUCUACGCCUAAGAAUUAAGAGCCUUGGGGAGAAGGGCACUGCAUCGACCACUGCAUCUCAAUCAUUGUGGCAGACGUACCACAGCACUGGGAAGCUGGCCUUGGCAAGAAUCUCAGGCUAUUACUACAGAGUUGGGAAGAAGGUUUAGGAUCAAGAUAGAGGUGACUGACCAAGCCAACAGAUAGUCCUUGAACCAAAAGGAAUUAUGAGAACUCUGCUUAUUUUUGGAAACAUGAAGAAUGAUGAAACCUGUUCAGCAAUGCAUAUUCAUCGGACUGCAGAGGUUUAAUGACAUCAGGGAACCAAACGGAUAAUCCAUAGUACCUGCAAAGACAAAGAAAUCAGCAGAAAUGGAGUAAGACAUCUGACAUCCUGGCCCCAAUAUCUUUCUCAUCAUUCCAGUCUGCUCUGAGAAACUCUCUCUCCUAGUCUGGUGGUACAAACUCCUGGGA
Molecule: long non-coding RNA, 549 nt
Filed under: Homo sapiens (human)
Lineage: Eukaryota; Metazoa; Chordata; Mammalia; Primates; Hominidae
Description: HSALNT0327431
Source: RNAcentral